GACGAACGCUGGCGGCGCGCCUAACACAUGCAAGUCGAACGGAGUUUCCCCUUCGGGGGGAGCUUAGUGGCGGACGGGUGAGUAACACGUGAGGAACCUGCCUUUGAGAGCGGGAUACCGUCUGGAAACGGACGUUAAUACCGCAUAAUGCAGCGAGGCCACAUGGCCAUGCUGCCAAAGAUUUAUCGCUCAAAGAUGGCCUCGCGCCUGAUUAGAUAGUUGGCGGGGUAACGGCCCACCAAGUCUGCGAUCAGUAGCCGGACUGAGAGGUCGAACGGCCACAUUGGGACUGAGAUACGGCCCAGACUCCUACGGGAGGCAGCAGUGGGGGAUAUUGCACAAUGGGCGAAAGCCUGAUGCAGCGACGCCGCGUGAGGGAAGACGGUUUUCGGAUUGUAAACCUCUGUCUUCGGGGACGAAACAAGACGGUACCCGAGGAGGAAGCCACGGCUAACUACGUGCCAGCAGCCGUGGUAAAACGUAGCGUG
Molecule: ribosomal RNA, 488 nt
Filed under: uncultured bacterium
Lineage: Bacteria
Description: bacterial SSU rRNA
Rfam family: Bacterial small subunit ribosomal RNA
Source: RNAcentral